RNAcentral lists this transfer RNA (87 nucleotides) under Clostridiaceae bacterium. RNAcentral's name for it is "tRNA-Leu". It matches the Rfam family "tRNA". From Rfam's summary of the family: Transfer RNA (tRNA) molecules are approximately 80 nucleotides in length. Their secondary structure includes four short double-helical elements and three loops (D, anti-codon, and T loops). RNAcentral also lists the same sequence under 2 other names. Lineage: Bacteria; Bacillati; Bacillota; Clostridia; Eubacteriales; Clostridiaceae. The record is from RNAcentral.
GCCGGCGUGAUGGAAUUGGCAGACGUGACGGACUCAAAAUCCGUUGGUAGCGAUACCGUGCGGGUUCAAGUCCCGCCGCCGGCACCA